This 1071-nucleotide ribosomal RNA is filed under the name Candidatus Moeniiplasma glomeromycotorum. RNAcentral describes it as "bacterial SSU rRNA". It matches the Rfam family "Bacterial small subunit ribosomal RNA", at positions 114 to 1194 of the family's 1533-position model. The record is from RNAcentral. Lineage: Bacteria; Bacillati; Mycoplasmatota; Mollicutes; Mycoplasmatales; Mycoplasmataceae.
UGCUUAUCUAACUUGCCAAUUAGUGGGGGAUAACUAUGGGAAACCAUGGCUAAUACCGCAUUUGUUGCUUUGGCAAUGAAAGGAGGUCGCAAGACUUUCGCUAAUUGAUAGGGAUAAGUCGCAUCAGUUAGUUGGUGGGGUAAUGGCCUACCAAGACUAUGACGCGUAGCCAGGCUGAGAGGCUGAUUGGCCACAAGGAACUGAGACACGGUCCUACUCCCAAGGGAGGCAGCAGUGAGGAAUUUUCCGCAAUGGGGGCAACCCUGACGGAGCAAUACUACGUGAAGGAGGAAGGUCUACGGAUUGUAAACUUCUGUUAGUGCAGAAGAAGGGCUGAAUGCAAGUUCAGUUUUGACAGUAUGCACAGAGAAAGCCACGACUAACUACGUGCCAGCAGUCGCGGUAAGACGUAGGUGGCGAACGUUAUCCGGAAUUAUUGGGCGUAAAGGGUGCGUAGACGGCAUGAUAAGUUAUUGGCGGGAAAUCGAGGCUCAACCUCGUGGAAACUGAUAAUACUGUUUUGCUUGAGUACAGGAGAGGUUAACGGAACUCCAUGUGGAGCGGUAAAAUGUGUAGAUAUAUGGAAGAACAUCAAUAACGGCGAAGGCAGUUAACUAUUCUGUUACUGACGUUGAGGCACGAAAGCGUGGGGAGCAAAACGGAUUAGAUACCCGUGUAGUCCACGCCCUAAACGAUGAGUGCUAGAUAUUGGGAACUUGAUUCUCAGUGUCGCUAGUUAACACGGUAAGCACUCCGCCUGGGUAGUACGCUCGCAAGAGUGAAACUCAAAGGAAUUGACGGGGACUCGCACAAGCAGUGGAGCAUGUGGUUUAAUCCGAUACGACGCGUAGAACCUUACCAAGGCUUGACAUGUUGGGCAAAGCUAGGGAAACCUAGUGGAGGUUAUCCUAACACAGGUGCUGCAUGGCCGUCGUCAGUUCGUGCCGUGAGGUGUAUGGUUAAGUCCUAUAACGAACGUAACCCUUGGACUUAGUUGCCAGCAUUUAGUUGGGGACUCUAAGUCGACUGCCUGAGCAAUCAGGAGGAAGGAAAGGAUCAAGUCUGGUCGUC